Non-coding RNA from Flavobacterium plurextorum, 398 nucleotides. NCBI's taxonomy places the organism in Bacteria, Pseudomonadati, Bacteroidota, Flavobacteriia, Flavobacteriales, Flavobacteriaceae. The record is from Rfam.
GGGGUCGACUGGUUUUGACAGCAAGUCGAAUUGAACAGUAAGCACGUCGAGCAUUGAGACCUUGCUCGUAAAUAUAAGAUCUCACACUUUUACACGGCGAAAAUAAUUACGCUUUAGCUGCAUAAUCUGAAUCAUAGUAAGAUUGCGCCACGUCUCUACAAGGUAGAGAAGCUGGAUUCUCCUAGAAAGCCUUGGUUUGUGGCGUUCUGUCAAGGGGAACCGUAAAAAUAAACCUAGAUUUCCAUGAGCUUCGGGUGGAUUUCGAAAAUUAAGGAGAUAAGUGUUGGGUGGUUGUUUCUGGCCUAGCUCAACAACGAAAAUCUAAUCAGGAAAUAAGCGUGUAGAAAGCUCUUUAGUUGCUUGUUUGGACCCGGGUUCGAUUCCCGGCGACUCCACAA